RNAcentral lists this unclassified non-coding RNA (2373 nucleotides) under Daphnia magna. RNAcentral describes it as "homeobox protein abdominal-A homolog, transcript variant X8". The record is from RNAcentral. Lineage: Eukaryota; Metazoa; Arthropoda; Branchiopoda; Diplostraca; Daphniidae.
AUGGCGAGUUCGUGACCACGUGUUGAAUGGCGGUAGGAAGACAUUCUUUAACGGUGGAAAUCGUACCUCCUCUCCUUUUUCACAAGUUUCGACCAGAUAUCGCUUCAGCAACGUGUUUUCCUUCCUUUGCAUUAUUGGUGAUCUUGGUCGGAAUUGGCUGAGGAUCGCCGGAUGUAAUUCGUGAGCUGCCGAUUGUAUCUGAACGUCGGUUGUUCCCACAGCCGAAGGCCUACGCGGUUCGGAAACGCCAAGGAACUUGUGUAGGCCUUCAAUGCACCGUCGGCUAUGCCCGUAUAAGCAAAUGACGACAAAAAGAAGGGUGACGAUAUAUACGAAAAAUGAAUGGCGAAUUUUUAUUAGUAGCCCUCAUGACCAUACUCCCGACCGAUAAUGACCGGUUGGAUCACACACAAACCGGAGAAGAAAGGAAAAGGAAAAAAAAAGUGGCUGCCGCGGACUGAGAGUGGUCCAUCAAAUUUGUGUUACAACCCAUUCGGAUCGAGAGGUGAUGGCACUUUCGGACGACACAAACCAGAAGAAGAAGAAAAAAAAAAAAACUGCUUUUUCCUAACACGGCACACACAGUCGUCGGGAAAAAAGACACACGGCACACACACACACAGCCGUCUAAAACUACUACCGAGAGUGUAGAAGAUGAAAAAGAAAGGAAAUAAAACAACCUGCUGCUGUUUUUCCAGACGAAGAUGAGAUAUUAUUGGCCAUCAAGAAAGCAAUAAUCUUAAGCGACAGGUGCUCCGCCGCUUCAGCUGCGAGACGAAACGCAUUCCGACAGUAAUGUGUGUGCCUUUUCUCUUCUUUUUUUCUCUCGUAUUCUGUGGCAUAAAGGAGAAAAAAGAAACAAGGGGAUUUGAUUAUUAUGAUUAAGAAUGUGAUACGAGAAGAGAGAAGGGAAAAAAAAAGGAGUUCGUUAUCGCGCAGUCUGAUCAACACAUGAAAAUGGACGCUGAUUCGCGGCCCUGCGAAUCUACAGUACAGCGCGAAGGUUCUCCUUUUCUCCAUAUCUUGUGACGAUGAUGCGUUUCGAUCCGAUCGUGGAGAGACAAGAAGAAAGAAACGAGUUUCAUCAUGACGCUGGCGCGUUUCGAUGAUGGAGUAUAAUUGGUCAUUCUUCUUUAAUCGAGCUCGUCUUUUCGUGAUGGCUCUUCUCUACCCUGCGUGUGUCUGUGUGUAAGUUAACUAUACGUAUGCUUCUUCUUCUUCCUCUCAUUUUUUCAAAUUUAUUUUUACGAUCGACCGUGCGCCUAGCGGAAAGAAACGACAGCAAAUCACCAUUGGCGCACCUUAUUUUCUUCCUAUUUAUAUUCCAAGUAUGUACACCAUCUGGGAAUUUCGAUCAUUGGUGAAAAGGUUGAUAAUUAUUGGGUGGUGGUGUAUACCUUUUGCGGCGCAUCAAAAGAGAGGAAAUAAGUUGGAAAAAAGAAAUUGUGGUGUUUGGUUGUCGCCCCCUUUAUCUUUCCUCUUUUUUUUUUUUUUUUUUGCUCUUAACUCUUCGAGCUUGUGUAUACGUGCGUACGUAUUACUCCCUCCCUGCUUGUCUCUGGGUAUAAAGUUAAUAACUUACAACUAGUAAAAGUUGCUGCUUGUUGUUUAUAUUAGAGAUAGCUAAAGGGUAUAAACCGUGCCUGUGCUGCGCGUAUGUGUUUGAUUGGUUGAUAGGGAAGGUCUCUCUCUCUCUUUCUCUCUCUCCACUUACUUCACUCCCAAGGUCCGUCCGGUUGUCUGGGUGGGGCUCUCUCCCGACGGCCCUUUCUUCUACUAAACAAAAGACGUGACGUUCGCAGAUAGUUCAACAUUUCUCCGCUAGUCGUGAGGAUGGCAGCACCUGUCGGGCCAGCCCAUUAUUUAUUUAUUUUUUGCUUGGUGCCAAUGCAGCUUUAUAUAGACUAAAUAGAUUUGGUUUUCGUACAGUUUUCUGUUUCUCAUUUUUUUUUUUCGCCUCGUUUUAUGGUCUUAACGGCUCUCAUCACGACGGCUAUGGCAUGUUACGCGACACUUGAGCCUUGGCUAUGUUUGUAUGUCCAGAGCCAAAAAAGUAAAUCAAGUCACGAAAUAAAAAAAGAAAGAAAGAAUAGAAGAACCCAAAAAAAAAAAAAAGAAAAAUGGUUGGCGACUGCGUCAGGGAAUUUUUCGUUCACUUGAGCGUCGCCGGCGUCUACGAUGGGAAAACAAAAAGCUGCAACAAAUGGACACAAAAAGGAGACGAACGGUAACAAAACAACGGAAAGCAGGAAUUAUACAUCAGAAAGAAAAUGAUGAUUACCUCCUAUUUAAACGUAGUAUAACUCUAGAAGUAAUAUAUAAAAUGUAUUGUUGUAUUAUUGUUGCGUUAUAAAAGCGAGUCGAAAACGAAAA